ACCACUUUUCAGAGAGAGAGAGAGGGAGAGAGAGAGAGAGAGAGAAGGAGAGAGAGAGAGAAGGAGAGAGAAGGGCAGACAAACUGAAUACAGCGAUCUAUAACAGGGUCGCAGAGAGCCUGGAGGCUAUCCCAGGGGACUCGGGGCACAAGGCAGGGGACACCCUGGACGGAGUGCCAACCGAUUGCAGGUGUAUGCCUUUGGACUGGGGGAGGAAACCGGAGUACCUGGAGGAAACCCCUGAAGCACGGGAGGAACAUGCAAACUCCACACACACAUGGCGGAGGAAGGAAUCGAACCCCCGACCCUGGAGGUGCGAGGAAACUAAUCAGAUAUUACAGAAAAUGCAAAAUAAAUAAAAGCAAAAAAUAAAACACCUGGACAUAUCUCUCCUGUAAAUGCACCUUCUAC
This is a long non-coding RNA of Ictalurus punctatus (channel catfish), 411 nucleotides long. RefSeq lists it as uncharacterized. The record is from RefSeq and is a predicted model, not a curated record. The transcript has 3 exons. Lineage: Eukaryota; Metazoa; Chordata; Actinopteri; Siluriformes; Ictaluridae.